This 492-nucleotide ribosomal RNA is filed under the name uncultured bacterium. RNAcentral's name for it is "partial 16S ribosomal RNA". It matches the Rfam family "Bacterial small subunit ribosomal RNA", at positions 29 to 507 of the family's 1533-position model. The record is from RNAcentral.
AGUGAACGCUGGCGGUAGGCCUAAUACAUGCAAGUCGAACGGCAGCACAGUAAGAGCUUGCCCCUACGGGUGGCGAGGGGCGGGCGGGUGAGGAAUACAUCAGCAUCUACUUAUUCGUGGGGGACAACGUAGGGAAACUGACGCUAAUAGCGCAUACGACCUACGGGUGAAAGCAGGGGAUCUUCGGAGCUUGCGCGACUCAAUGAGCCGAUGCCGCAUUAGCUAGUUGGCGGGGUAAAGGCCCACCAAGGCAACGAUCCGUAGCUGAUCUGAGAGGAUGAUCGGCCACACUGGAACUGAGACACGGUCCAGACUCCUACGGGAGGCAGCAGUAGGGAAUAUUCGACAAUGGGCGCAAGCCUGAUCCAGCAAUACCGCGUGAGUGAAGAAGGCCUUCGGAUUGUAAAGCCCUUUUAUUGGGAAAGAAAAGCUGUGUGUUAAUAUCCCGCUGUUCUGACGGUACCCAAUCAGUAAGCAACGGCUAACUUCGUG